This 62-nucleotide transfer RNA is filed under the name Spiniphilus spinicornis. RNAcentral describes it as "tRNA-Phe". The record is from RNAcentral. Lineage: Eukaryota; Metazoa; Arthropoda; Insecta; Coleoptera; Vesperidae.
AUUUAAAUAGCUUAUUUAGAGCAUGAUAUUGAAGCUAUCAAGGAAGUUGUUAACUUUUAAAU